CACGUAGGGCGCAAGCGUUGUCCGGAAUUAUUGGGCGUAAAGAGCUCGUAGGCGGUCUGUUGCGUCCGCUGUGAAAACUCGGGGCUUAACCCAGAGCCGCCACUCGAUACUGCUGUGACUAGAGUGCGGUAGGGGAGCGGGGAAUUCCUGGUGUAGCGGUGAAAUGCGCAGAUAUCAGGAGGAACACCAGUGGCGAAGGCGCCGCUCUGGGCCGUGACUGACGCUGAGGAGCGAAAGCGUGGGUAGCAAACAGG
RNAcentral lists this ribosomal RNA (254 nucleotides) under uncultured bacterium. Its description in RNAcentral is "partial 16S ribosomal RNA". It matches the Rfam family "Bacterial small subunit ribosomal RNA", at positions 524 to 776 of the family's 1533-position model. The record is from RNAcentral.